GACGAACGCUGGCGGCGUGCUUAACACAUGCAAGUCGAACGGUGAAGCGCCUUCCUUUUAGGAAGGUGUGGAGGAGUGGCCAACGGGUGAGUAACACGUGAGUAACCUGCCCCCUUCUUCUGGAUAACCGCAUGCGAGUGUUGCUAAUACGGGAUAUUCUGGGUCUGUAGCAUGAUGGGUCUGGGAAGGAAUUUGUUUCGGCGGGGGAUGGGCGCGCGUCCUUUAAGUUUGUUGGUGGGGUGAUGGCCUACCAGGGGGGUGACGGGUAGCCGGCUUGGGAGGGUGGACGGUCACAGUGGGAGUGAGACCCGGACCAGACUCGGAAGGGAGGCAGCAGGAGGGAAUAGUGCACAAUGGGAGCAAGCCUGAGGCAGCGACGCCGCGUGAGGGAUGGAGGCCGUCGGGUUGUGAACCUCUGUCGCGAGUGAAGCAGGCGUGACUCGUUUGUGCGUGGGUUGACGGUAGCUGGAUAAGAAGCGACGGCUAACUACGUG
This 494-nucleotide ribosomal RNA is filed under the name uncultured bacterium. RNAcentral describes it as "partial 16S ribosomal RNA". It matches the Rfam family "Bacterial small subunit ribosomal RNA", at positions 28 to 507 of the family's 1533-position model. The record is from RNAcentral.